RNAcentral lists this long non-coding RNA (287 nucleotides) under Manihot esculenta (cassava). Its description in RNAcentral is "long non-coding RNA (MESC_LNC010320)". The record is from RNAcentral. Lineage: Eukaryota; Viridiplantae; Streptophyta; Magnoliopsida; Malpighiales; Euphorbiaceae.
CUAAUGAUUGUUUGUAUGCUUGUGUGUUGUUCUUCAGAGGAGCCAGAAUGCAAGGUGCUCGUCGAUCUGUGGAAUCGACUGGAGUUCCAUCUGAGAGGGAAGGUUUGGACACCUUUCCCCCUGCUCUGCCAAGAGCGCAGUCGUGGGGAGUUAGCAGAUGGGGAACAUUAAGGGACCCUGGAAGGUCUUUUGAUGCAAGCAGAGAAGCGAUGGCUCCAAGAAGGAUGUCAGCUAGUAUGAGGGAAGUAGAGUCGGAUGUUCAGAGAAGGGAUGUCAGUUUGGGAAUC